RNAcentral lists this ribosomal RNA (445 nucleotides) under uncultured bacterium. RNAcentral's name for it is "partial 16S ribosomal RNA". It matches the Rfam family "Bacterial small subunit ribosomal RNA", at positions 354 to 796 of the family's 1533-position model. The record is from RNAcentral.
GUAAGGAAUAUUGGUCAAUGGAGGCAACUCUGAACCAGCCAUGCCGCGUGCAGGAAGACGGCCCUCUGGGUUGUAAACUGCUUUUAUCUGGGAAUAAACCUGCUUACGUGUAAGUAGCUGAAUGUACCAGAAGAAUAAGGAUCGGCUAACUCCGUGCCAGCAGCCGCGGUAAUACGGAGGAUCCAAGCGUUAUCCGGAUUUAUUGGGUUUAAAGGGUGCGUAGGCGGCCUGUUAAGUCAGGGGUGAAAGACGGUGGCUCAACCAUCGCAGUGCCCUUGAUACUGAUGGGCUUGAAUGGACUAGAGGUAGGCGGAAUGAGACAAGUAGCGGUGAAAUGCAUAGAUAUGUCUCAGAACACCGAUUGCGAAGGCAGCUUACUAUGGUCUUAUUGACGCUGAGGCACGAAAGCGUGGGGAUCGAACAGGAUUAGAUACCCGGGUAGUCC